This 46-nucleotide non-coding RNA is filed under the name Schistosoma mattheei. The record is from RNAcentral. Lineage: Eukaryota; Metazoa; Platyhelminthes; Trematoda; Strigeidida; Schistosomatidae.
GCACUGCUGAAGAGUCCCAUACUAAGACGAAACGGCCGUUCAGUGC